RNAcentral lists this long non-coding RNA (693 nucleotides) under Citrus x clementina. RNAcentral describes it as "Citrus clementina (C. clementina) long non-coding RNA (CCLE_LNC001990)". The record is from RNAcentral. Lineage: Eukaryota; Viridiplantae; Streptophyta; Magnoliopsida; Sapindales; Rutaceae.
AGACUCUUAAUCAAGUUCAAUCUAUGUGCUCUUCAUAUUUUUGAGUUCAUAUUUAGAUCUAAUUUAUACGAAUUGAGUUUUUAUAAAUCCUAAUAUGAAUUGUAUCGUAUCAAAACACAUUCCAUAAUAAUACUUUGAUGAUCCUUUUCUCGCUUCCUAAACAAAUAGUUCUUGAGGAAAUCAGUAUCAAUGAAUCUUGAGCCCUUUGAAGAAUUUGUUGUAAACCAUUAAAAUUCUCGAAAAUGACCAAUGAAAGCGCAUAUCCUAGUACUUUCGAAUUUCUUCGGAGCACUUUCCAUUUUAUAUUUCACAUUUCCCAUCAGGUGUUUCACGCAUGUGGGUCCCGAUGUGUAAUACAAUUUAUACCACCCACAAGAUCGUGAGUGGGGAAUCCAACAGAGAUCUCGUUUGGUUUGGGUUUAGAUCUUGAAUGCAUAAUCGACACGUGAUUUCAUCGUAAGAGCAUCACCGUCAACAUCAUGGAAAGCGGAAACACCUUUAUCAUUUUUAACACCUUCCGAUUUGACCUUUUUUUCCCCAAGCGGCGUGACGUGUGCUAUUUGAAAUUCGACCACCUCUUUGGCUGAUUGGCUCUUACUUUCAAGUCCUUUGUGCUUGUGAUUACAUUUGUGAGAGCUUUGCUGCCACGCAUUACCGAGAAAAUGUUAAAUAAACUAAUCCAAAAAAAUAAAA